Molecule: ribosomal RNA, 433 nt
Filed under: uncultured bacterium
Lineage: Bacteria
Description: partial 16S ribosomal RNA
Rfam family: Bacterial small subunit ribosomal RNA
Source: RNAcentral
AACGAACGCUGGCGGCAUGCCUAACGCAUGCAAGUCGAACGAGACCUUCGGGUCUAGUGGCGCACGGGUGCGUAACGCGUGGGAACCUGCCCUUAGGUUCGGAAUAACUCCCCGAAAGGGGUGCUAAUACCGGAUAAUGUCUUCGGACCAAAGAUUUAUCGCCUUUGGAUGGGCCCGCGUUGGAUUAGCUAGUUGGUAGGGUAAAAGCCUACCAAGGCGACGAUCCAUAGCUGGUCUGAGAGGAUGAUCAGCCACACUGGGACUGAGACACGGCCCAGACUCCUACGGGAGGCAGCAGUGGGGAAUAUUGGACAAUGGGCGAAAGCCUGAUCCAGCAAUGCCGCGUGAGUGAUGAAGGCCUUAGGGUUGUAAAGCUCUUUUACCCGGGAUGAUAAUGACAGUACCGGGAGAAUAAGCACCGGCUAACUCCGUG